Ricinus communis (castor bean) is the source of this 106-nucleotide non-coding RNA. The record is from Rfam. NCBI's taxonomy places the organism in Eukaryota, Viridiplantae, Streptophyta, Magnoliopsida, Malpighiales, Euphorbiaceae.
AAACCGUGGUGUGGGCAACAUCUCAGCAAGUUCUUAUACCUCUUCCACGCAUCAUACAUGCUCUCAUCAUCAAACUGUACAAAAGAAGAAAUAUUGUUACGCAUCU